This 433-nucleotide ribosomal RNA is filed under the name uncultured bacterium. RNAcentral's name for it is "partial 16S ribosomal RNA". It matches the Rfam family "Bacterial small subunit ribosomal RNA", at positions 29 to 507 of the family's 1533-position model. The record is from RNAcentral.
AACGAACGCUGGCGGCAGGCCUAACACAUGCAAGUCGAGCGCGCCCUUCGGGGUGAGCGGCGGGCGGGUGAGUAACGCGUGGGAACGUGCCCUUCUCUGCGGAAUAGCCUCGGGAAACUGAGAGUAAUACCGCAUACGCCCUUUGGGGGAAAGAUUUAUCGGAGAAGGAUCGGCCCGCGUUGGAUUAGGUAGUUGGUGGGGUAAUGGCCCACCAAGCCGACGAUCCAUAGCUGGUUUGAGAGGAUGAUCAGCCACACUGGGACUGAGACACGGCCCAGCCUCCUACGGGAGGCAGCAGUGGGGAAUCUUAGACAAUGGGGGCAACCCUGAUCUAGCCAUGCCGCGUGAGUGAUGAAGGCCUUAGGGUUGUAAAGCUCUUUCAGCUGGGAAGAUAAUGACGGUACCAGCAGAAGAAGCCCCGGCUAACUCCGUG